Molecule: ribosomal RNA, 702 nt
Filed under: uncultured soil bacterium
Lineage: Bacteria
Description: bacterial SSU rRNA
Rfam family: Bacterial small subunit ribosomal RNA
Source: RNAcentral
GUCGAGCGAGAAAGGUCUUCGGACUGAGUAAAGCGGCGAACGGGUGAGAAACGCGUGGGAAUCUACCUUUUAGUGAGGAAUACCCUCGAGAAAUCGAGGUUAAUACUGCAUACGUCCCGUAAGGGAGAAAGAUGGCCUCUUUGCUGUCGCUGAAAGAUGAGCCUGCGUACUAUUAGCUAGUUGGUGGGGUAAUGGCCUACCAAGGCAAUGAUGGUUAGCCGACCUGAGAGGGUGUACGGCCACACUGGAACUUAGACACGGUCCAGACUCCUACGGGAGGCAGCAGUGAGGAAUAUUGCGCAAUGGGCGAAAGCCUGACGCAGCGACGCCGCGUGGAGGAUGAAGGUCUUAGGAUUGUAAACUUCUGUUAAGUGGGAAGAAAGGCAGCGUUCUAAUACAGCGCUGAUAUGACGGUACCAUUAGAGAAAGCACCGGCUAAACUCGUGCCAGCAGCCGCGGUAAUACGAGUGGUGCAAGCGUUAUUCGGAUUUAUUGGGCGUAAAGGGUGCGCAGGCGGUAUAUUAAGUCAACUGUUAAAUACCUCAGCCUAACUGAGGACCGGCAGUAGAUACUGGUAAACUAGAGGAUGGAAGAGAGAAGUGGAAUUCUUGGAGUAGCGGUAAAAUGCGUAGAUCUCAAGAGGAACACCAAUGGCGAAGGCAGCUUCUUGGUCCAUAUCUGACGCUCAUGCACGAAAGCGUG